RNAcentral lists this ribosomal RNA (463 nucleotides) under uncultured bacterium. RNAcentral's name for it is "partial 16S ribosomal RNA". It matches the Rfam family "Bacterial small subunit ribosomal RNA", at positions 355 to 830 of the family's 1533-position model. The record is from RNAcentral.
UGGGGAAUAUUGGACAAUGGGCGCAAGCCUGAUCCAGCCAUGCCGCGUGAGUGAUGAAGGCCCUAGGGUUGUAAAGCUCUUUCACCGGUGAAGAUAAUGACGGUAACCGGAGAAGAAGCCCCGGCUAACUUCGUGCCAGCAGCCGCGGUAAUACGAAGGGGGCUAGCGUUGUUCGGAUUUACUGGGCGUAAAGCGCACGUAGGCGGACUUUUAAGUCAGGGGUGAAAUCCCGGGGGCUCAACCCCCGGAACUGCCUUUGAUACUGGAAGUCUUGAGUAUGGUAGAGGUGAGUGGAAUUCCGAGUGUAGAGGUGAAAUUCGUAGAUAUUCGGAGGAACACCAGUGGGCGAAGGCGGCUCACUGGGACCAUUACUGACGCUGAGGUGCGAAAGCGUGGGGAGCAAACAGGAUUAGAUACCCCUGGUAGUCCACGCCGUAAACGAUGAAUGUUAGCCGUUGGGGGA